AGAUGGGUGGAUGAACCAUCCCCCGCCCUUUGGGCAGAUGAAGGGUGACUGAACAACAACAGAAACGAAGACUCUUAGAGAGAAUGGGAGGAAAUCCUCUCACUAAAAAGAGAGACUUGCUCUCACUCUUUGCACUGCAUAAAAGUGUAUGGUUCAUGAAUCCAAUGUUGAACCAAUAACCAAUGAUAUAUAUGACAGCAGCAUAUCAGAAGGGUCUGUGUUGGACAGCUCCAUUCAUAAUUUUGAAUGUUUAGGCAAAGAGAUGGAGGCAACUUUCCUAGUAUUAUCAUCAUAUAAAGCUUCUAGUAUUAUAUAAAUCUCCACAUAUCGAUCCACUGAUUGAGAGGUCAGAGAAUUUUAAUCUGGCAUACAGAUAGCUCAAUGACGAAAAUCAAGCAUAGAAGAAAUUUGCAGAGUUACAAUAUCAAGUACCAUUGAGUUAAUAGAUAUAAAUUUUCUAAUUUAGAAUCGUUAAUCAGUUAGGUGCUUCAAAAAAUUUUCUCCCAUGAUAUAAAACCUGCAUUUAAAUGAAUGCCCUUAAAUUUCAAAUAUUGCAGCGCAUUACUCAGACGAAAUGGUGGUAGUGACCACAACCAAUAUAGUAGCAGCAGCAGUUGGCACAGGUUAAAGUUGAAUAAUGUAACUAAUAUUACAUUGAUUAAGUGCUCAUACAUUAUGUUUUGUGUAGCCAAAGAUAGGAAUGGAAGCUACUAUUAAUGUAACCAAUCACAACCACAUUGCAUUGCUCCCUUCAAUUUACCAAAUAUCUAACAAGAAACAAGAAAAAGAAACCACACAAAUUAUGCUAAAAAAAAUAUGCCGAUGACAAUAAUAAGAAAUAAAUGCUUCUCACUUACAUUGGCCGCCAAAUAUUCCAGUUUACAACUUUGCAGCUCCAAGUGAGGGACUGGUUGAACUCAAAAACCACAAGCCAAAAUUACAAACUUGAGGUUGUAGAACUAAAAACCUUUAUAUAAGAAAUUUGAAAAGGGAAGAGGAAAAAACACAAGAGCUAGUUAGAGCCAAGGAUCAUGAAGUGGGAAAACAGAGAGCAAAUCCACAAUUUAUAAGCCAUAAAGCAACAAAAAGAAAUAAUAAAGAAACUGAUUAGUGGAAACAUAACACGCUUGUGUUUUAUAACAGUCUUACAUGCCAAUGUUUCUUUGCUUUCUAUCUCUCGCCAAAAUUACCUUACGAAUACAGCCUCAAAAUUGCACUAUCUAAUAACCUAUAACUCAUAAAGACCAAAAGUAGACACAACUCAUUGUGCCCAUGUUGUACAUAUUUACUACUACACUUGCAUGUGAAUGGAACUAUGGCAGACGUGAACCAAUUUAGAUCGCAAAACAUCUCAAGCAGUCAGUUUCUGUGAAGAAUUAACAGCACCCAAAUGCUUGAGGUGUAAUGUGGCCAACAAGCCUUGCCAAGUUUCUCCAGGUGCACCUGCCACUUGAAAGUCAACCAGUUUCUUUUGUUUCCUAUAGUAAUCUUCCAAUGCCUUACCCUGAAGAGAAGAAAAAAAAAUCUCAUCAGCAAAAUUUCAAAUUUCAUUCACCCUUUUUCAUUAACUAGUGAGCUUCAAUUUUUAUCAUAAAAGGCAGCAGACAUGAUACAGUCGUUAUUGAACCACAGAGAAGGGGGAAAACGAGGAAGUAGCUGAAGUGGCUAUCCUUUCAAAUGACAUAAUUCAUCUCACCUACAAUCUUAAUCCAAGAAAAAUAACUAACAAGUAACAAGGAACUCAGGGACGUCACAGACAAGCAUUUGAAAGUUAACACCCACUAAGUCACAUGAGUUAGAUCAGGAAAAUCUCCGAAGAAUAUAAAAUACAAGAUCUUUAAAAUCUGUAAAAAGACAUCAUUAUAAAGCAAUUUUCUAUUAAAGGUGGAAAAUACAACAAUUAUAUAUAAAGAGAAGGAUGCCAUAGUUUACAAUAUUAACAAGCAUUUCUGCAACAAGAUACUCGGAACAAUUUGAUAAUAACAUAUCAAUCAUCAUACCUCGGGUUUUAAAUUAUACUAUAAAACAAGAUAAUAUAUAAUACCUGUUCUGCAUAUAUACGGAACUUUUCCUUCAAGGCACUUCCAGCAUCAGUCACAGAGGACAUAGAGUCAACAGUAAGAAAAUCCCUCUUCACCAAGUUGUCUUUAGUACAUUUAAAAUUCACAACUAGAUCAAUAUCAGCAAUUUGAUCAAGAAUUUCCUGCAAAAGGGGGAAAAAAAAUCCACGAAUGUUAAUAAUGUACAGAAAACAUAAGUACAAUGCAACUACUGAGCUUUACUACUGUUCCAAUUGUAAUGAUCAAAACAUACAAAUCUAUAAUCACGAAGAGGAACAAUAAAUGCAUAUGCAUUAACCAAGUUAGAAAACAUUGAGACAUACAGCUUGAAUUCUUGUUCGAGGAAUGCCAUCCAAAAUGAAGCCAGUUUCGCCUCUGCAGUAACCUUCUUCAAGCCUCUUGGACAACAACCCAAAAAUUACUUCCUCUGGUACUAGCUUUCCUUCAUGCACCGCACUUGCAAUCUGUAUGUAGAGAGAAGAGCUAGGGUUAUACGCUUGGCGAAGGAGGGUACCCAUGGAAAUG
Molecule: unclassified non-coding RNA, 2585 nt
Filed under: Hevea brasiliensis (rubber tree)
Lineage: Eukaryota; Viridiplantae; Streptophyta; Magnoliopsida; Malpighiales; Euphorbiaceae
Source: RNAcentral